Rhinopithecus roxellana (golden snub-nosed monkey) is the source of this 1363-nucleotide long non-coding RNA. RefSeq lists it as uncharacterized. The transcript has 3 exons. NCBI's taxonomy places the organism in Eukaryota, Metazoa, Chordata, Mammalia, Primates, Cercopithecidae. The record is from RefSeq and is a predicted model, not a curated record.
AGAAAAAGAUAAGAGUUACUCUCUAGACAUAGUGCUGUAUUUCCUUUGGGAAUUGUAGUUUUUCUUAGUUUGUGUUGUCCUGAAGUGAACUUUAGCUCUAUACUUUUUUUUCUUUGUCUUUUAUUUAUUUAUUUUUAUUUUUAGAUUUCCUAGUGCCCUAGUUGCAUUUCUUCUGUGUAUUGAGAGACCACCAGGGCAAGGCAAAGUUUAUCUGAAUGUUUUUUCCUCCUAUUGUAAAUAUUUUAUUUGAACCAUCCAUGGUUCAAAUAAAAAAGAGGCUUGGUUCCUGUCAGGCCUCUUUAAAGAAAACAAGGAAAAAGGCUUCCUAGUGCUUUAGAAGAUAUAAGAUUGUUAAAACUUCAUUUUAGAGAACUAGGGAUUUGGCUGAACUAACAUGAAUGCCUUUGAAAGAAGAUAUGGGUUGGGUGCAUAUUUUCAGUAUGUGCUGCAGCAGCUCUUUAUUAAAGUGUGAAUCAUUACAAAGUCUUCAUUUCCUAUGGGGUGAUAAUACUGCUGCUUUGUGGAUGACUACCUGUCAUGCCCAAACCCUGCAAACUUUUCUACAUAGGGAAAUGGAAUUGGGCUUAUGCCACCUGUAGCUUUUACUCAAGAGACUUCAUGGACUGAUUUCCCAAUAAUCAUAGUAGCUACCACUUAUUGAGGUCUUGCUACUACUUGGAUCAUGCUGAGUACUUCAAGUAUAUUAAACCUCAAAAACAACUUUACAAGGUAGGUUAUAUUAUGCUUAUUAUAAAUCCUCCAGAGUUAAUAAAUUUGCCUAAGUCCACCUAGUUAGAAAAUGAUUAGGCUGGGAUUGGAAUCAAGAUGGUCUGGUUUGGGGAUCUCGACUCCUAAUUGUUAUACUGUACUGAGACUAGUCUGCCUUAAUUGACAUAAACUACUUGUCCAUUAUAGCAUGGGUGUUGGAAGAGUAGGGGUUAAGAGAAAUAAUAAUAUCCAGCAUUUUUCUAGUGUUUUAGCAUUCUUCAUAUAGUAUCCCACUGGAUUUCCUUAGUGUAAUACAAUAACAUUUGGUUUAUACACCAGGUAGUCAAACAUCAUGCCUGUCUUGUGAUCUCAAUGGGAAAAUGAAGUAUAUACCUCAAGUGAUACAGUCUUGGCUGAAUCAUGGAACAAUUAUGCCAUCAGAGAAUUGAGAGAAUAUUGCAAAAUGUUAUUGGAAGAGAUGAUCAAAGAGUAUGCAACCAAAAAAUAUAGGAAAAGUAUUUCAGAGAGAUGAGAUCUAACUCUGUCAUUCAGUCUGGAAAGCAGUUGCGUGAUCAUAACUCACUGCAGCCUUGGAUUCCUAGGCUCAAGCAAUCCUCUAGAGUAGCUUGGACUAAAGGCAUGCACCACCAUGACU